Sander lucioperca (pikeperch) is the source of this 763-nucleotide long non-coding RNA. RefSeq lists it as uncharacterized. The transcript is spliced from 4 exons. The record is from RefSeq and is a predicted model, not a curated record. Lineage: Eukaryota; Metazoa; Chordata; Actinopteri; Perciformes; Percidae.
UGGGCAGGAGGAGAGAGAAGGCAAUGCAGAGAUGAAGGACAUCAUACCACAAUAAUAGUUGUGUGUAUAAGCCUGAUCAACAAGUGAAAAUAGUCAGAUAACAGGAAAGAGUUUGAAAACUAUGAUUUGACGACCACUGCUGAAUUGGCCUGCUCAGAGGAAGAGGCACUAAUGAUUCCAGAAAACAGGAAGCCAAAGAAGAAGACCUAUACAGACUUUGAAAUGGAUCUCUCAAUUGCCAUGAUGACCAAGAUAUUCAAUGGGGAAAUGUGGAAAGCUGCCAUAUUCCCAGUCAUUACUUUGCCAAAUCAUCUGUGCAGCAGCACCGAGGAAUCCUACUUUCCUGAGUCAGCAAGGACUUCCCUGAGUGGCAACAGACUGGAGCAGAGGCUGGAGCAGGGACAGCCUUUUUUUUUUGCUACUGAAAUAACUGACAUUAUGAUAGACAGUGGACAAUAUGGUGUGACAAUUAGUUUUUGUUCUCCAACAUGUACACACUGCUGUUGUGAAGCAGGGAUAAACAGCUCACAAGUGCGUAGUCAAAAGACAGAAAUACUGUAUAUUUCAGCGACUCCUACAGAUUAAGAAAAAUAAUGAAUUUUCUUAAUAAAUAAAUGUUAUUCUUGGCUCAAUUGUUCAGUGUCUUUGGGUUCAAAUAACAUUACCAUGAUCCCAUAGGCAUAAAAAAAUUGAGAAAGUGGCGUUUUUUAAAACUGAAACAGGGUGUGUUGGACAUCUUGUUGUGUGCGCACGUCUCUUCUGA